RNAcentral lists this ribosomal RNA (372 nucleotides) under uncultured bacterium. RNAcentral's name for it is "bacterial SSU rRNA". It matches the Rfam family "Bacterial small subunit ribosomal RNA", at positions 417 to 806 of the family's 1533-position model. The record is from RNAcentral.
UUAGGGUUGUAAAGCUCUUUCAGCUGGGAAGAUAAUGACGGUACCAGCAGAAGAAGCCCCGGCUAACUCCGUGCCAGCAGCCGCGGUAAUACGGAGGGGGCUAGCGUUGUUCGGAAUUACUGGGCGUAAAGCGCACGUAGGCGGACCGGAAAGUUGGAGGUGAAAUCCCAGGGCUCAACCUUGGAACUGCCUUCAAAACUAUCGGUCUGGAGUUCGAGAGAGGUGAGUGGAAUUCCGAGUGUAGAGGUGAAAUUCGUAGAUAUUCGGAGGAACACCANUGGCGAAGGCNGCUCACUGGCUCGAUACUGACGCUGAGGUGCGAAAGCGUGGGGAGCAAACAGGAUUAGAUACCCUGNUAGUCCAAGGGCGAAU